AGUGAACGCUGGCGGUAGGCCUAACACAUGCAAGUCGAACGGCAGCACAGUAAGAGCUUGCUCGUACGGGUGGCGAGUGGCGGACGGGUGAGGAAUACAUCGGAAUCUACUUUUUCGUGGGGGAUAACGUAGGGAAACUUACGCUAAUACCGCAUACGACCUACGGGUGAAAGCAGGGGAUCUUCGGACCUUGCGCGAUUGAAUGAGCCGAUGUCGGAUUAGCUAGUUGGCGGGGUAAAGGCCCACCAAGGCGACGAUCCGUAGCUGGUCUGAGAGGAUGAUCAGCCACACUGGAACUGAGACACGGUCCAGGCUCCUACGGGAGGCAGCAGUGGGGAAUAUUGGACAAUGGGCGCAAGCCUGAUCCAGCCAUACCGCGUGGGUGAAGAAGGCCUUCGGGUUGUAAAGCCCUUUUGUUGGGAAAGAAAAGCAGCAGGUUAAUACCCCGCUGUUCUGACGGUACCCAAAGAAUAAGCACCGGCUAACUUCGUG
Molecule: ribosomal RNA, 492 nt
Filed under: uncultured bacterium
Lineage: Bacteria
Description: partial 16S ribosomal RNA
Rfam family: Bacterial small subunit ribosomal RNA
Source: RNAcentral